RNAcentral lists this ribosomal RNA (253 nucleotides) under uncultured bacterium. Its description in RNAcentral is "partial 16S ribosomal RNA". It matches the Rfam family "Bacterial small subunit ribosomal RNA", at positions 524 to 776 of the family's 1533-position model. The record is from RNAcentral.
UACAGAGGUCCCAAGCGUUGUUCGGAUUCACUGGGCGUAAAGGGUGCGUAGGUGGCGGGGUAAGUUUGAUGUGAAAUCUCCGAGCUUAACUCGGAAAUGGCAUUGAAUACUACUCUGCUGGAGGGUCGGAGGGGAGACUGGAAUUUUCGGUGUAGCAGUGAAAUGCGUGGAUAUCGAAAGGAACACCAGUGGCGAAAGCGAGUCUCUGGACGACUCCUGACACUGAUGCACGAAAUCUACUGGAGCAAACAGG